GACGAACGCUGGCGGCGUGCUUAACACAUGCAAGUCGAACGGUGAAGCGCCUUCCUUUUUGGUGGGUGUGGAUGAGUGGCGAACGGGUGAGUAACACGUGAGUAACCUGCUCCCUCCUUCUGGAUAACGGCAUGAAAGUGUGGCUAAUACGGGAUAUUCUGAGUCUGUCGCAUGAUGGGUCUGGGAAAGAUAUUGUUUCGGUGGGGGAUGGGCUCGCGGCCUAUUAGCUUGUUGGUGGGGUAAUGGCGUACCAAGGAGGCGAUGCGUAGCCGCCCUGCUGGGAGGGUCGACGGUCACAGUGGUACUGCGACGCCGAGCAGACUCCUACGGGAGGCAGCAGUGAGGAAUACGGCACGGGGGGAGGAAGCAUGGUGCAGCGACGCGGCGUGAAGGAUGGACGCCGUCGGGUAGUGAACUUCUUUCGCCAGUGAAGCAGGCCGGACGUGUUUGUGCGUGGGUUGACGGUAGCUGGAUAAGAAGCGACGGCUAACUACGUG
Molecule: ribosomal RNA, 497 nt
Filed under: uncultured bacterium
Lineage: Bacteria
Description: partial 16S ribosomal RNA
Rfam family: Bacterial small subunit ribosomal RNA
Source: RNAcentral